GACCUCAGGGUGGCCACGUCAGUGAAAAAAAUUUACAGCGUCCGAUGGUAAAUCGGUGGCUUGUAUUCACCUCACCCACCCGCACUGUAGCUGUAAAUAUCUUCACUCCACUUCCAGAGCUUUCUCGUCGUCCUCUGUGCGCCCGCAACCCUCCUCACAAAGGGCCCUAAAGCCGGCGGCAGCGGCCAUUGCGGUAGCAGCAUGCCGAGGAGACCGGCGCCCGCGGCGGCGACGACAUGCCGGCGGCCUUUGCCGCGUCCUCGCCUCGCCUCGCCUCCUCCUGCCGCGCAGCCAGCGCAGGGGCGCUGGCACGGCCUCUGCUCUCCGCGCCGCCCGGACAACCGGAUCCGCGCCCCGGCCUCCUCCUCCACAUGCCUUCUCGCCGUCCCCGUUCCCGUCCCCGUGCGCCCGCGGCUGCCUGCCAGCCCAUCUCCUCCUCCACGCGCCUCCGCGACGUCUUGCCGUCCCCGUCCCCGGCGCGCCCUCUGCUCCUCGCCGCCCGGACAACCGGGUCCGCACCCCGGGCUCCUCCUUGCCAUCCCUGUCCCCAUCGUCCCCUGUGCUCCCGCGGCACAGGGCCAGCUACUAUACCUGCCGUCUCGGCGUACAGGCCAACUCCAACCACCACGGCUGCUCCCACAUCACCCGCUGCAGUGGUGCUACUGCUGGGCCGGCCGCCCUCUCCCUUCGGGCUCCCUCGUCAGGUGCCCCCCACCGCAGGAUCCAAAUCGGAUUUGGAGUCGUACAACGAACUCGCUCCAGCCUCCAGCCCAAAUCUUAUCCUUUUCCCUCGGAUUGGACCUCUGAUUCACUUUCUAUCUACUUCCUCUUGCACAUGGAAUCCAUCUCUCAAAUCUGUUCUUCCCCGCCAAAUUAUUUUUCUUUUUCCAGGUCCAAUCCAUGCCUCCCCAAUUUCCUUCCUAGAAUCAAAAUGGGCCAUGUCGCUGUUGUCAGCCAUCUGACAUCCGUGAGCAACUCGCUAUAAAUUUCUGGUUAUACCUCUUGCGACGAUAGUAACGCCCAUUUUCUAAUUUUGGUUUCGCUCCCAAUCAGCAUGCUGCAUCUGGUCAUUUCCUCCCUCUCUUUCUUGCAGUCGGCGCUUGCUUUUGCUUUUCCAUAUGAUGCGGCUGAGUAUGGCCAUCACCCCUGUACCUCUCUCUUAUAUUCCUCUUGCUUUUACUUCUUUGGUCCUCACCUUUCUUGCAGCGUUUACCACUUAACUGUGUAGCCUCCUGAGUAUACAGAUUGAUUAAUAAGAUUUGUCUUUACCAAUAGGAGGCUCUGCCUUUCAAACUAAUUUGGUUCUCCCUGCUAUUUCAAUUUCAGACUGAUUGUGCCUUCUGUUCUCUCUUCAGUGAUUUAUUAACAGAUACUUUCGACACUUAUUUGUUUCCAUUCUUGCAUUGUAGUUCCUGUAAGCUGAAUGUUCAGAACUCAGUUUGCUUAUCUACUUCACUCAAAUGCACAUUAAAAAACUGGUUACUACAUUUGCUCUUCAAGAUUUCCUAAUUUUUGUUCCCCUCCUCAGUUUAUUUACGUUCAGGUAGCCCUGUGUCUCUCCGUCAAAGUUCCGAAUAUGAUCAAGUAGUCCCCUGUCUCUCUCUGUUUUUAGCAAUAUCCAGAGUUUUCUUUGGUACAAAAUUUCUUUCCAGAUGGUUCCUAUUUUUUGUAGGCUGCAAAGUAAACUGAAUGACCAUUCCAACUAAUGUAGCAUUGCUAAGUAAAAUAUGCUUAUCAGGCGAGGUGGUGGAGGCCGCGACGCGAGCCGAGGCAAACAAGAAGGUGUUAAUCUUGAUGAGCGGCACGGGCGGCAGGCACCGAGCAUCCGCCGAGCCCAUAAGCCUGCCUUCGUCCAAUAGUUCGGCAAGAACUACCAGAUGAGAAACAGAAGGCAGCUAGGUAGUAUGGUAAGGCAUUUUUUUUUGCCUGACAGUAUCAAGGUAUUUUUUAUCUCCCAUUUUUUUGCCGCUGCUUUGUUAUUAUUGUUAUUGACCUGUUAACAAUUGCAUUUUCUGUUCCAUUACAGAACAUAAUCGUCCUUUUCUACUUGACAUUUCUGGAGGUUUUGCAAAUAUUAAAUGAUUUAUGACUAUUUCUGAGACCAUUAGUAAUCCGAGUUUUAGCAAAUUGCUUCUUAUCUUUUCAUUUGUAAAACUGUUCAAAUUGCACCAGUGGCGAUAAUGUCUUUCCAUAGGUGAGGUCUGUGAAACCUGUUUUAACAAGGCUUUUUUCAAUGGUACUAUAAGACGGGUGGAUUUUCACCAAGCAACAAAGCAAGUAAAUUCUUUUUCAGAUUGCUGUUGGUAGCAGCUCAUCCUCUAGCUGCUGCUACGACAGCAAAGUUUUAUAGUAAUAAUGCAGAACAAGAACAAACUUAAUACAACAUUCCCUCUUCAUCAGCUUAAGGUGGCAAAUUGUAAAAUGAACAGUGAAAUGUCUAACUGAAAUUUCUUUUGGGGGCACAGCUUGGUCCCUUUUGUUGGUAAAAUCUAAAGCUUCUUCAAAUGGUUAUGACCAUGGAACGACAAGGGACUCAUGGGAGGAAAUGCCUAUAUGGCUCAAUCUGAGAUAAAUAAAACCAAUUGUUCCUUAGAUAUUCUGUUGCUAAGAAUGUAUAGUUGCACCUUGAAAAUAUUCAGCACAGAUCAGAUCAGGUAUGUUCUUCAAUUUAAACAGCACCUUUGAAAAUAGAUGUUUAUUCAAAUGAUUAUCCGACCAUCUCAACUCUCAUCCAAAGUAUCUUUAACAUAUUUUUUUCUUACAAAAUCUUUUUCCAGGAAACAUGUCCUACCUCAAGUAAAUGCAUGCCAUGCCAAAAGAAAGAGAGAAAAGCACCAGCCAGCGCAGCAGCAGGAAACAAAGCUGUAAGACCACUCACCAAGUAAAGUCAAGGAGGAAACUCCAACCACUUGAUAUUGGCUUCUACCGAUUAGUAAUGUAGGCUCCUAUGGCAGGACUCACCACGGUUAUGAGAAGCCAUCAGCUUGAUGUGAGUCAGCAUGCUCAGUUUGGAAUAAAGAAAAUAGCUAUGUUCUGUUCUGGAAUUUUGCAGCAGUUGAUUAUAGAUUGGUUGCGUGCCAAGCAUCGGUUCUUGCUCUAACCCAUGAGCUUGCACAGCAAAUUGAGAUGGCCAUGUACAUCGAGGUUUGUUCUUCUCAACUCUGAGCAUAUUUUCUUCCAAUAUGCUUGCAGCAGCAUGCUUGAAUCUAUGACAAAUACCUGCUUGCUCCAAAUCCAGAAACCAAAUACAUCAGUGCUCCAAACUCUUCAUAUAGCAUGCUGUGCUCGAGCUUGCCAAGACGCCAACCCUUGCUCCAACUUCUCUUAUACAGCUUUUCCAUGCAUGCUUGCAGCAUGGGUGGCACUGGUGCUAAUUGGUUGCAUUACUGUAGCAGGUACCAGCCGAGGGCUCAAGGGCAAUAGUAGGAAGCCAUGUUUUCUGUCACAUCCUUUGAUCAGUUCUAUCACUUCCUACCGACGUGAAAAAAAUAUGUGUAUUUAGAUUCCUAUUAGAAGACUAAACAAUAGCUCUGUAGAUUACAUGUUCCAUUAUAAAUAUAUGCUUUCUACAUUUACUUAUCUUGGGGAAAAAAAAGGAAAAAAAACAGGGCAAGCUACUUCCAAUGUAAUGCGAGAAAGGGUUUACUCCCCGUCUUCAUCGCAAACAAGACCAAAGCAAAACCAUGUCAGUGCUUAGAGCACUAAGCCAGAUUGGAAAAAGGUCAGGAGCAACACAACCAUUCCAGGGACUUAACAUUUAGCACUGCCUAUGCCAGAAGAUUUAAUAGGCAGUAGCGCUUUUGUACUAAUGCGUAGUUGUGCAUUGUAUAUGAGAAAUAAUUGUACUAUCAUAUAUACCUACUAACAUAUGGCCAUACCAUGUUAAUGACCUGUUUAUAUGUAUUAAUGAUGUCCUACCUUAAUCU
Molecule: long non-coding RNA, 3926 nt
Organism: Panicum virgatum (switchgrass)
Lineage: Eukaryota; Viridiplantae; Streptophyta; Magnoliopsida; Poales; Poaceae
Exons: 7
Source: RefSeq, a predicted model, not a curated record